GGGCAGAGGGAUCCUCUUCCUGUUGUCACUGGUGUGUUCCCGUGGUGCACACCAGGUUCAUCUAACUUUCCAGCCCUGGAGCAGCUUUGGAGACAGAUGGGUUUGUAGACCUGGCUUCACAGAUGCCCUUUGGUCCUCUGACCUCAGGAGGAUGAAUUCUGCUCACAUCCAAGCUGCGAUUUGACCACCUAGCUGUGGUUUGGCUGUGCAGCCAUCCCACCAUCCCCCAGUUUGGCUGGGUGGUUUGUGUGUAUUGGGGGUGCAAUCUUUAAUUAGGUAAUUACCCAGUAUUUUUCAACACAAUGCCCAAGAUCACUACCUCUCUUCAUGAGCAGCUAAUCAAUAUUUCUUCUUACCCUUCCAUUUGUUGUGCAGCUCUGACCUUAUUUAUUACAGAGUCUGUUCAGUCAGCAAAGUAAUAUUUAUUUCUCAAUAGGCUUCAUUGUGAUAUUGCUGUCACUGCAAUAAAGCUCAAAGAUAAAUAAUUAAUCUGGGCAAUAUCCUCAGCAGGCAAAACUUCUGGAGGACUAAGAGAGCCCACUGUGGGGGGAAAAAAAAAAGAUGAGGCACAAAUAUGUGUGUCCUCCUUUCUACAGAGCAGAAUGCCUCAAGAGCCACACGUGGUUGGAGUAUGCACUUUGAUUGUCUGCCUCCUACAAACUUCGAGGCUACCUUUUACAUCCUCUUACACAGCUUUGGGAAGAGA
Long non-coding RNA from Pogoniulus pusillus (Red-fronted tinkerbird), 706 nucleotides. RefSeq lists it as uncharacterized. The record is from RefSeq and is a predicted model, not a curated record. NCBI's taxonomy places the organism in Eukaryota, Metazoa, Chordata, Aves, Piciformes, Lybiidae. The transcript has 3 exons.